This 276-nucleotide ribosomal RNA is filed under the name uncultured bacterium. RNAcentral describes it as "partial 16S ribosomal RNA". It matches the Rfam family "Bacterial small subunit ribosomal RNA", at positions 524 to 795 of the family's 1533-position model. The record is from RNAcentral.
UACGGAGGGGGUUAGCGUUGUUCGGAAUUACUGGGCGUAAAGCGCGCGUAGGCGGACUAUUAAGUCGAGGGUGAAAUCCCGGGGCUCAACCCCGGAACUGCCUUCGAUACUGGUAGUCUUGAGUUCGAGAGAGGUGAGUGGAAUUCCGAGUGUAGAGGUGAAAUUCGUAGAUAUUCGGAGGAACACCAGUGGCGAAGGCGGCUCACUGGCUCGAUACUGACGCUGAGGUGCGAAAGCGUGGGGAGCAAAACAGGAAUUAGAUACCCGGCGUAAGUC